Molecule: long non-coding RNA, 559 nt
Organism: Phragmites australis (common reed)
Lineage: Eukaryota; Viridiplantae; Streptophyta; Magnoliopsida; Poales; Poaceae
Exons: 3
Source: RefSeq, a predicted model, not a curated record
GCACAUGCUUGGUUUUUGGCCAGUAAUGCGAUAAUCUCCAUUUAACCGAAUCUGAAAACAUUCUCAACCUUCUGUCUUGUCCUUCAUGUUCCGAGUGAUUACAUUUUUCCGAGUGAUUACAUUUUUCAGUAUAAAAUAAAUGAUACUAGAUCGAACUAAAAAUUGAUCUCCAAUACCAAUUUCUGAAUAGGCAUUAAUACAGAGAUGGACCAAACUUCUAUUUUUUGUGUUCUCGACUUCUUGUUUGCUGACUCUGAUGUCCUUUUAUUUUCCAGUGCAUAACAGAACUGAAGGAUUAUGCACCCGGUAUGCCAAUAAUUCUCAUGGGGACAAAGCUUGGUUGAAUAGCUGAAAAACGCGGCAUGUCACCAUUUUUCAGUUACUGAAGAGGAGAUAACGGUCGGUCACUACCCUAUAGCGAUGAACUCGGCAUUACACAAGUUACCGUGAGCCGAUCCCAGGUAGCCAACCCGCGUCCACCCAACAUAGAUGGCAUUCAGUUAUUAUUGACUGUAGAUGCAAGGACACUAUUACACUCAUCACUAUGUUUGAAAGUUUG